RNAcentral lists this microRNA precursor (126 nucleotides) under Myotis brandtii (Brandt's bat). RNAcentral's name for it is "mir-9193 microRNA precursor family". It matches the Rfam family "mir-9193 microRNA precursor family". Lineage: Eukaryota; Metazoa; Chordata; Mammalia; Chiroptera; Vespertilionidae. The record is from Rfam by way of RNAcentral.
CAUGCACUGGUGGGGUCCCUCGGCCUGGCCUGCGCCCUCUCACAAUCUGGGAUCCCUCAGGGGAAGUCGGAGAGCCAGUUUUAGCCCCAUCCUGCAGGCCAGGCCGAGGGACCCCACUGGUGCACA